AUGGGAACGCGAAGAACCUUACCUAGACUUGACAUCUCCUGAAUAGUGUAGAGAUACAUGAAGCCCUUCGGGGCAGGAAGACAGGUGGUGCAUGGUUGUCGUCAGCUCGUGUCGUGAGAUGUUGGGUUAAGUCCCGCAACGAGCGCAACCCCUAUUAUUAGUUGCUAACAUUAAGUUGAGCACUCUAGUGAGACUGCCCGGGUUAACCGGGAGGAAGGUGGGGAUGACGUCAAAUCAUCAUGCCCCUUAUGUCUAGGGCUACACACGUGCUACAAUGGUGGGAACAAAGAGAUGCAAUACCGCAAGGUGGAGCUAAACUCAAAACCCCAUCCCAGUUCGGAUUGUAGGCUGAAACUCGCCUACAUGAAGCUGGAGUUGCUAGUAAUCGCGAAUCAGAGUGUCGCGGUGAAUACGUUCCCGGG
RNAcentral lists this ribosomal RNA (422 nucleotides) under uncultured bacterium. RNAcentral describes it as "bacterial SSU rRNA". It matches the Rfam family "Bacterial small subunit ribosomal RNA", at positions 954 to 1378 of the family's 1533-position model. The record is from RNAcentral.